CCUACGGGUGGCAGCAGUAGGGAAUAUUGCUCAAUGGGCGAAACCCUGAACCAGCAACGCCGCGUGGAGGAUGAAUGUUUUCGGAUUUUAAACCCCUUUUUUUAGAGAAGUAAAUGACGGCAUCUAACGAUUAAUCACCGUCUACCUCCGUGACACCAGCCGCGGUAAUAUGGCGGGGGCCACCGUGAUUCGGAAUCACUGGGCGUAAAGGGGGGGUAGGCGGGUUAGCAAGUCAGGUGCGAAAGCCGAGGGCUUAAACGUAGCAGUGCAUUUGAAACUGUUAUUCUAGAGUAUGGGAGAGGUAGGUGGAAUGCGUGGUGUAGGGGUGAAAUGCGUAGAGAUCAAGAAGAAUACUGAUUGCGAAGGCGGCCUGCUAGAACAUAACUGACGCUGAUGCGCGAAAGCGUGGGGAGCAAACAGGAUUAGAUACCCCAGUAGUC
RNAcentral lists this ribosomal RNA (440 nucleotides) under uncultured bacterium. RNAcentral describes it as "partial 16S ribosomal RNA". It matches the Rfam family "Bacterial small subunit ribosomal RNA", at positions 338 to 795 of the family's 1533-position model. The record is from RNAcentral.